This 310-nucleotide ribosomal RNA is filed under the name Amanita sp. 1-MR/935F2. RNAcentral describes it as "LSU rRNA". It matches the Rfam family "Bacterial large subunit ribosomal RNA", at positions 1750 to 2025 of the family's 2925-position model. The record is from RNAcentral. Lineage: Eukaryota; Fungi; Basidiomycota; Agaricomycetes; Agaricales; Amanitaceae.
ACCAUUUGUGAAUUCUAUUACUAAGACUUUAUUUUAAUAAUUGAUAGAUAAAUGGUGGCACAGAAUCGGAGGCCCCGACUGUUUACUAAAAACACAACACAGUGCAAUCAUUAAUAUGGUAGUAUACUGUGUGAAAUUUGCCCAAUGCCAUUAAUAUAAAAGCGGUCAUAGGAAACUGUGACUAAUUGAAAAUCUGGUUAAUAGCGGUCUUAACCAUGAGGAUCCUAAGGUAGCAAAAUAAAUUGGCCAUUAAAUGUGGACCGGUAUCAAUAAUGUAACGAUGGCCUCACUGUCUCUACACUUGCUCAGU